Molecule: unclassified non-coding RNA, 305 nt
Organism: Colobus angolensis palliatus
Lineage: Eukaryota; Metazoa; Chordata; Mammalia; Primates; Cercopithecidae
Rfam family: Metazoan signal recognition particle RNA
About the family: The signal recognition particle (SRP) is a universally conserved ribonucleoprotein. It is involved in the co-translational targeting of proteins to membranes.
Source: Ensembl
GCUGCGUGUGGUGGCGCAUACCUGUAGUCCCAGGUACUCGGGAGGCUGAGGCAGGAGGAUUGCUUGAGCCCAGGAGUCCUGGGCUAUAGUGCACUAUGCCAGUCUGAUGUCCGCAUAAAGUUUGUCAUCAGUAUGGUGACCUUGACUUCCCUGGAGCAAGGGACCACCAGGUUGCCUAAGGAGGAGUGAACUAGCCCAGGUUGGAAACAGGGUAGGUCAGUACUCUGGUGCUGCUUAGUAGCAGGAUCACACCUGGGAAUAGCCACUGCAGUCUAGCCUGGGCAACAUAGCUAGACCCUGUCUUA